Molecule: long non-coding RNA, 3182 nt
Organism: Centruroides sculpturatus (bark scorpion)
Lineage: Eukaryota; Metazoa; Arthropoda; Arachnida; Scorpiones; Buthidae
Exons: 2
Source: RefSeq, a predicted model, not a curated record
AAAAGGAGGCCGAAAGCGGCGAUCUGUCUCAGUAACGGGUCUAGCCCGUGCUGACGCGCGAUUCGUGACGGCACAGUCACUCCCCUUCUUCAAAAUUCCGCGUGACGUUAAUAGUGCGACGGCAUCUCGAACGAGAAAGAUUUAAGAAAAAUAAAUAAAUAAAUGCGUAUAGAAAGUGCUGGCGUGGCGUUUACAGAAGUUUUUAGUUUAAAAAGAAAGAAGAAGAAAAAAAAACUAGGUCGAUGACUAGUUUGACGAGUGCUACGUCACGAUUAGGAAUGCAUACGUUUAAAACGUUCAUAGGUGAACGAGUUACAGGACGGUGUCCCUAAAAACAAAACGGUGCGAAGUAGAUCAGGGCAUACCAGUGCUUCUGUUUCCAUACUAAUUAGGUCAUAGCCGAAAGAAAUUCAAACUCAGGUAGAUGACUCAAGCAUCUUAAAAUGAGCACUUUCCGCCACUCUCACCGCAACCACACACUACACACACAUCCCCCCUAUUCUGUAUCUAAAUAUAGAGCCUCCCGAGUAGUAGUGGUAGUAAUAGUAAUGGUGUGCGCACCCGCUCCUUGUAUGUUCACGACAUGUGGCAUAGCUUAGGAAGAGGGAAUCGUGUUUACUCAGACGAGCGAGUGAAGGAAAUGCACACGGAUCGAUCACGCGUGACUUUUCUGGAAGGUUCCGAAAAUCCGCUUUUCAAUGGAUCAAAUAAUUACUUACCCCUUGGUUGGACUGGAAUUGGAUCGUAGGUUUUGGCGAAGAACUGACCUGGAAAAAAAGAAAAAAAAAAUUAUUAUUAAGAAUAAACUCUACGUCAGAACUGCACCGGAGACACCUGUUUAGAUCGUUAGUAAUUGCAUGAGUAGAGAGGAGUGUAAAAAAAUAUAAAUAUAUUUUUAAUCUGUUGUGAAACUCUAUUUGAGAAAAGUAGGACAAAUUCUGAUAGAACAAAGUGGAGAAAAAAAAAUUAUUUCCAACCUGUCACCACCAGGAACAGUCCGACAACCAACCCAUUGACAAAACUAUCUAAAGCUUCUACCAUGCGGAACAAAAAUGCUUCCAUAAAGCUUAAUUAUAGCUCAAUUUUAACUAAACCGCAUAAUUGCGAAAAAAAAGGAAGAAACGAACGUUCGACUUUCUUUUUAUUUUUAUUUCUACGCCGAAAUUGCUAGUUUCUAGUGAAACUAAAAAAUCUGAUAAGGUAUUCCUUCCACAAUAAAAAAAAGGGAAACUUCUCUCAGGGUCGUUCGGUAAAGAUGUUUAACGUUCACACGUUCUACUGUCAUUAUAAAAGAAUUAGAAUGCCGAAAAAGUAAAAAUCUGAAAUUCCGUUUCCGAUUUCGACUUUUACACAGAAACUUUUAAUUCUUUUCCGGGAAAGAAACUGUUGAAAAAUGUAUCGAGCGUAAAGAUAUCCGAACUUUAAGGUCUAUCAAUACUUCGUGUAAACAAUUUUAAAAUUCCAUUUUUGUUCCAGGAAUGUUUGUUUUUCGACUAGAAAAUGGUUGCUCUCUUUUAAAAAGAAAGCUGUAAAAAUGUAUUUUUUGAAAGAUACGGAAAAUUCUGUAAGUGAUACAACGCUUUUUCUUCUGAUCCAUUUCAGAAAGAAGCUGUAGAUCUGAAGAGAAAAGAAAAAAAUAGAUCCUAAUAAUGGUACAUUUUCGCAUUCAAUUCCGUCAGAAACGAAGGAAGAAAGCUGCCACUUUCAUAAAAAAAUAAACAAGGUAGAUGCCACAUACGACGUCUUUCACGAAACGAAUUAAAUAUUACCGCUCUAUUCCCCUGCAAAGUACGGGUUGUAACAAUUUUUACGUCCUCGAUUUUUUUUUUUUUUAAAUUUCAAGACGGCAAUUUUCUACUUUGAAAUUCCUGCCAGAAAGGGCAGUCCGAUUGGAGAUGUUAAAGCGGUAGAAAGUGGUUAUCAACCAGACCAACGGGUUUCACCACCUGUGCAUGUGGGCCAGUAAGAAGUAAACCAGUUUUCGGAAUCGUUUACCCAUCUAUCCGAGCAGCUGUACGGUUUAUGAAUGGUCAAAACCAACUUUCUCCUUUCGGGGGAACGUAUUUCGUUCGCUUUCCCCCUCUCCAAACAAUCAUAAAAAUCAUUUUUAAAACUUCGAACUUAAAAAAAAUGGCACGCAAUUCGAUCCAAAGUAACGACAAAGACAUUAAAUAACCCAUUUUUCGAAAUUGGCUACGGAUCGAACGCGAUCGAUGUUAUAGAUUUUAUAUCGAUCUCGCGUGGGCAAUCUCGCUUCUCGCAAAUAGUCGUAAUCGUAAUGGUUUAUAUAUAUAUAUAUAUAUAUAUAUUAAAUAUUUCGAGACUGACUUGCUUUCACGCUCUCUUUACUACCAAACAGCGAGAAAAAUACAAAAAAAAAUUACACAUUAAAAACUUCCCCAUGCCUAAUUGGAAUGAGGAUAAUCGAAAAAUACCGUAAACGCCUAUUAACGUAGCAUUUCUUUUUUACUUCAACCGUGUAAUCAACACUUCUAAAGAUUGCAUCUUGAUCUAUGUCUACGAAAGGGGGGACAGAGUAUUAUGUCACUAAUUGCCAUUCAGACGUAUCGUAUAUCGUCGCGACUCGAGUCGAGAUGUCUGACGACACUUUUUCCUUAGAAAUAAACAAAAUUACAACCGAUAGGCGAAACUAUCUGCGGCCAUUAAUUAAACUUAGAUUAAUCGGUGGCACUACAAUGGCUGCUUUGAUGACGUCGGUCGCGAACGUCAUCACCUUACGCAAACUUAUGCAACGACAAAGAUAAACAACGGCGAGCUUCUUGUACGUAGAGAGGGGGGGUCAGAUGCGACUCAAGGACGAAUUAUCCGUGCAUAGAUUUCUAUGACAAUCGGCACGUAGUAGUGUUAGUUUGUGCACGCUUAUGUAACAGGGAGCCAACAGCUCAGAGUUAUGACCCAAUUUUAAUGAUUUAGGAUGUUGUGACAUCGGAAACGACGGUUUAUCAAAAAAUUGAACUAUAACCUAAUUUCUGCACAGGGGGUCGGAAUUCUAACGAGACUAGAGCAUUUUUUAAAUAUCCAAGUAUUGGGGCAAAAACUUGAAAUCUCGCGCGUUUAACCUGUGCGCGUUUCGAUGCGUACGGUUAAGGUGAUUCACAAAUCACCGUAUAGUGUAUGUACACGCUAUUAUUUAUAAACUAGCCGACCUUGAAAAGAACGAG